AACGAACGCUGGCGGCAUGCCUAACACAUGCAAGUCGAACGAGACCUUCGGGUCUAGUGGCGCACGGGUGCGUAACGCGUGGGAACCUGCCCUUAGGUUCGGAAUAACUCCCCGAAAGGGGUGCUAAUACCGGAUAAUGUCUUCGGACCAAAGAUUUAUCGACUUUGGAUGGGCCCGCGUUGGAUUAGCUAGUUGGUAGGGCAAAAGCCUACCAAGGCGACGAUCCAUAGCUGGUCUGAGAGGAUGAUCAGCCACACUGGGACUGAGACACGGCCCAGAAUCAUACGGGAGGCAGCAGUGGGGAAUAUUGGACAAUGGGCGGAAGGCUGAACGAGCAAGGCCGCGAGAGUGAUGAAGGCGGUAAGGUUGUAAAGCUCUUUUACCCGGGAUGAUAAUGACAGUACCGGGAGAAUAAGCACCGGCUAACUCCGUG
Molecule: ribosomal RNA, 433 nt
Filed under: uncultured bacterium
Lineage: Bacteria
Description: partial 16S ribosomal RNA
Rfam family: Bacterial small subunit ribosomal RNA
Source: RNAcentral